Long non-coding RNA from Drosophila yakuba, 3532 nucleotides. RefSeq lists it as uncharacterized. The record is from RefSeq and is a predicted model, not a curated record. Lineage: Eukaryota; Metazoa; Arthropoda; Insecta; Diptera; Drosophilidae. The transcript is spliced from 3 exons.
CCCUAAUUUUGAAUAGCCAGCUUAGAGAAUUCUUUCUUAAAAAUAUAUUAAUUAAAUAAGUGAAUUUCUCAUUCAGCUGCUGCAUUUCUUGACGCCUGCAAUUAAUGUUUUAAGUCUACAAUUCUUUUUGCAUUUAGCGUAUGCAAUGGUGUGUACAUAUUUUGGCACAAUAACAAUAAUGAAAACCAACAAAAAGGAUUUAUUUUUUUUUUAUUUUUCUCCUUUAAUGGAUUUGAUUAGCUUUUUGAUAAAUUUACACUGUUUCUCUCCAUAACUGCUUUGUGCACUUUGCAACACUGACGCCGCUUUUGUUUUGCUCAGCUGCUUCUUUCGUUUUGCAGUUGCUUUCGCUCUCUCUCUUUCGCUUUGGGCGAGAUAGUGCUGCCACAUGCGAGGUAUUUGGAAAUCGCGACUAGGUGGCAACCCGGGGCGGUGGCAACAGAAGAGUCAGCAAAGGAGAAUGUGCAAAAUAAGUGCGCGGGUGCAAGCGGGACGAAAAUAGCGCGGCUGCGGCAUGCGAUUGCGUGCUCGCAAGUGCGAGUGCGAGGGAAAUAACAGCAGCGACAGAGAGCGAGAAUGCAGUGGCAUUUGUAUGUGUGUGUAAUGUUUUAUCAAAGAGCAAAGCUCGCUCUCAUCGUCGCGUGUGUGUUUGUAAAAUGGUAACGAGCGGAGCAAAAAAAAGAAGAAGGUGCAAACACACAGAGAGUAGCAAGCCAAGAGAAAGAACAAGAGCGGCGAGAGGGAGAGAGCCAUGGAACGAGCAAAACAGCGAGAGCGAGUGUAACUAUUCGCUCAUUUGCGAAAACGAAAAAGAAACCGAAACGAAAACGGUCAAAAAUUGAUAAAUAUUUUUGUGCGCAACUUCCGCGCGCGCGUUCGUUUAAAAACAACACCGAAAGCAAACUACACACGCCACCAACUACAACUACAACUACAAAUACAAGCUGCGCUACCAGCUUCGCGGCGUUGCAGCUCCUUCUUCUUUCGCUGCUGCCUUCCAUUCCACCGAACUUCCAAUCCGAAGCGGAAAGCAGCUGCUGCCGAAUGCUGAAGAAGAGGGGUGGGGACACCGUGGGGAGUGAAAAGAGAGGAGUCCAUGAGAGAGAGAGAGAGAGAGAGAGAGAGAGAGAGAGAGAGAGAUGAAGAGGACAGCCGGCGUCUUUGUCAAUUCGCGAGCGACGAUGCCGGCAGAGGGCGCCAUUGCCACAACACCACGAAACAAAGGCAACAAAUACAACAUGGUAACAGUGCUGCCUCCGACUUUGGAAUAAGAAAUAAUUCAGCCAGGAACAAGCUAACUAGAGGUUUUUUUUCCAACACAACUGUUAAUCUAACUAUUAAAAUUAUAACCGCAAUUUACAUUUUUUUUUUGUAAUUUAAAUAUAUAUUACGCCUAUUACAUAGAAUAGCCAAAAAAUCAACUCUAAAAGUAAACUUCAAAUGUCAAAGAAUUGUAUCUGCGUGGAAUGGGCAAACAAAAAUGGUGCAAUACGUUCUAUUGAGCAGUAAAUUAGUUGAAUAAUACAAAGUACAAAAUAAAGGAAUAUUUAUAUUAUGUUGUUUCGAUUUCUUGAACUUCAUUUUGCGAAUGUCCAUUAAAUUUGUAUUAGUCUUAUGUGACUGAAUUUCGGAAAUAAAGAUCUGAGAUGUUAGCAUGUGAAAUCAUGUUUCUCUUCACUUCACCCCUCUGUAUCACUGGCCUUUUGACAACAGCUGUCGCAUGGCUGCCGUUCAUUCCCGAAUGCAUACGAAGAGAAAAAGGAAAAGGGGAGGCAGACAGAGAAGAAACGGAAGCAUAAGGAAAAGCUGUGGAGCAAACGAACAAAAGAAGUGUUGCCGAACAUGGCUAAUGCAUGAAAAUUGUAACGGCCAGUGAAACACGAAAUUGGCAACACUGAGAAAAACUGAGAAAGCGAGAAUUACGAAGGCAAUGAGGGGGAAACAACGAAAGGCCAGACAAUAAAAUGAGCUGACGAUAACGAGGAGGGUUGGGGAAAGAGGGGCGAAGCAGAAGAAGAAGUGGUUCGACGGAGAUGGAGAAGCGCAAAACCCAAAGCGACAAACGACGACGACUUAAUUUUUGGGCCUUGCCUUUGCCUCACGUGGGCGCGAAUGAGAUAAAUCUAUGAUGAUGAUUAUGCUACUGCAGUGCGAAAGGGAGAAGAGAGGGACAGUGCGAAAGGGAAAAGCAGAGAGGUGCAUGCGAAAAGGGCAGAGGAGCCAAUGUGGAAUGGAAUUGCGGACCGAGAUGGAAUGGAAUGGCACAGACAAAAAUUAGGUCUCUCGAUGUAAAAUUGUAUAAAUUAACUAUCAAGUUAUAGGAAGCUUAUAUAUACAUUUAAUUUGAUUCGCUCUAAUUACUUUUCAUUCUUUUCGCAUAAAAGCUAUAAGCUAUUCAUGUUAAUAAUAACAAUGCCAAGUUUUCUCUUUACACAAAACAUAAAUAGUAAAUAGGGGAAUAUAAACCUGGAAGGAUAAAAAAACGAAAUGGAAGCAGUGAAUGAAGGAAAGGAGGAGAUCGGAAGGGGGACACAAGUGGGUGGUUGGGCGUUGCGUGGGUGUGGCACUGAAAACCAACGGAACUCACAUGCAUUACGCAUAUGCAUUUCUUAUUGAGAGAAAAUCUCAGUGCGAGAGGAGGACAGAGAGAAAAAGAGAGAGAGAGAGACGUGACGGGAAAAGAGAACUAGGAGAGAUGAUUAUGGAGAGAUACAUUCCAAUAGUGCUUGAAAAGUCGUUGCAUGUUUUCCAUUGCGCUGUUAUUUACAAUCAAAGUGUAACAUAUAUUUUUUAGUCCCUAGCACUAUUUCAAGAAGUAGUACCUGCUAGCAAAGUUGCAAUUAAGGAAAAAAAUAGUAACCGAACGCGAACCAGUUUCUUUUUGGCAAUAUUGUUGAUAAGGCAAUGGUUGUGUAAAUGUAUGUGUUUUUUUUUAAACUGGUUUGCUGUUGUCCCGCAAGAGACGUUGACUUCAUACCAAAGAAAAACAAAAGAAAAAGCAGUACAAACAGCAAAAACAAAUGGAAACAAAACACACGACAAAAAAAGCACAGCAAAAACACUUCGAACCGCAACUCGGCUCGACUGCGCGGUCGGCAGCGCAGCCGGCUCUCAACGCGCCGCUUCUGCUGGCGCAGUUUAACAGUUCACGUCGAUGAGUCAAGGUCGAGAGACGUCACGCAAAUUUUCGUUUUCAUUGCCUUUUGCUUACAGACAAAAAACACAACACAAAUGGCACCAAACGAGGGACCGCAUACACACACACACAUGCAGACGCACAUGCUGUUUUAUUUUUAGACCCGAAUGACGACCCGAAGAGGACACGAAGUUGCACGAGAGUGGCUGAUAAAGCUGCGAGAGAGCAAUACAGCAACAUCUGCUCUGCUACAAAAAUGAAUGAAUAUAUGUGGUUGUUGUUGCUUUAAAUUUAGGCUAUUGAAAUUGUUGGCAAUUUUAAUAUAAACAUUAUCUAAAAGGGGGAAAUGAAUUUGGUACUGCAAUAAAAAGCACUUGAUUAACCCAUUUUAAAAAA